This 23-nucleotide small nuclear RNA is filed under the name Arabidopsis thaliana (thale cress). RNAcentral's name for it is "snRNA_13405". Lineage: Eukaryota; Viridiplantae; Streptophyta; Magnoliopsida; Brassicales; Brassicaceae. The record is from RNAcentral.
UUGUGUGGUCCGUGACUCUAAGU